UGUGCCAAAGAUUUUAUUUAUUUCAUGAAUCAAGGAAUGAGUAAGAUAUUAGAAUCAAUUGAAAGAAGAAUCCUGAAGACAUACCUACAUGGACAAUCAGGCAUGCCAAAAUGAAUCUGCUUAAUGGAUGCAAAACUGUCUUCUUUAACGGGCAAAGGAAAUCAAUUGUGUGUACACUAGAUGAAGUUCAUUCAUAGGGCUUUGGAAAAGAAUUAUUUGUAUUCCCAUCCAUCAUCUACAAUUAAUGUUAUAAAAUACCUCCAAGCUCAUGAAAGAUAAAAGAGCAUACUAGGCAGGACAACAAUAAUAUUUUUAUCUUAUUUCAAAAGUCACAAUUUUUUCCUGAAAGUACAGAAUUUGGCUUUUUACCCAAGCUGGAUCCCUCUACUCAAGUGCUAGAUUCAGUUCUGGUGACAUAGCAGAGGAAUGACCUUUUGCCACCUCAGGGAAUUCUUGGCCAUUCCUCUGCUGUGUUACCAGUUUCUUGCCCUCUUCUCAACAUCACCAUCAGAAGACACACACCUUUCUAUCACCUUUUCCCUCACCAAAUAACACUCCGUUUCCUGCUGCCUUAGCAGCAUAACUCCUGGAAAGACCUGUCUGUUCUCACUAACUUCGGUUCUUUCCCUCGCACUUCUCAACCCACUCAUUAUUCCAUAGCUCUCGGGAUUCACUGGAAAUGCUCUUGAAAGAGUCACCAACAGUUAUGCUCCAAAGUCCCACGGUCACUUCUCCGAGCUUCACCAGCACAGUAGCUGCCAUUGGCCACUUCGCCUGGAUAUACUUUCUCCAGUUGAUUCCAAGGCACUACUGCUGGGUUUUCCUCCUACCUCCAAGACUGUUCCUUACCCGGUUCCUCUGCCCAUCCCUCCUCUAUUUCCUCACUGAGCGCUGAAGUGUCUAAACACUCAGGUUGGGGGCCCUUCCCCUCAAUACUUGGUGAUCCCAUCUAAUCUCGUGAUUUAAAUUCUGUUUUCAUUUUGAGGACUCCAAAUUCACAUACCUAGACCAGAUAUCACUGCUAAAUUCUAGACCCAUCUACUGCUUUGAUGUCUAAUUGAUAUGUUAAGUUCAACAUGAAUAAAGGUAAUUUCUUAUUUUGCUCACCCUUCA
Molecule: long non-coding RNA, 1113 nt
Filed under: Marmota monax (woodchuck)
Lineage: Eukaryota; Metazoa; Chordata; Mammalia; Rodentia; Sciuridae
Source: RNAcentral